Molecule: ribosomal RNA, 253 nt
Filed under: uncultured bacterium
Lineage: Bacteria
Description: partial 16S ribosomal RNA
Rfam family: Bacterial small subunit ribosomal RNA
Source: RNAcentral
UACAGAGGGUGCGAGCGUUGUCCGGAAUCACUGGGCGUAAAGGGCGCGUAGGUGGCGCGACAAGUCAGUGGUGAAAGUUCGACGCUCAACGUCGAAUCGGCCACUGAUACUGUUGGGCUUGAGCACUGUAGAGGCUAAUGGAAUUCCGGGUGUAGCGGUGGAAUGCGUAGAGAUCCGGAAGAACACCGGUGGCGAAGGCGGCCUGCUGGGACGUGGCUGACGCUGAGGCGCGACAGCGUGGGGAGCAAACAGG